Molecule: ribosomal RNA, 198 nt
Filed under: uncultured bacterium
Lineage: Bacteria
Description: partial 16S ribosomal RNA
Rfam family: Bacterial small subunit ribosomal RNA
Source: RNAcentral
ACGCUCGACACCUACGGGAGGCAGCAGUGGGGAAUAUUGCACAAUGGGGGAAACCCUGAUGCAGCGACGCCGCGUGGAGGAAGAAGGUCUUCGGAUUGUAAACUCCUGUUGUUGGGGAAAAAGAGGAUGGUACCCAACAAGGAAGUGACGGCUAACUACGUGCCAUCAGCCGCGGUAAUCUGAGCGGGCUGGCAAGGC